Molecule: ribosomal RNA, 818 nt
Filed under: Tettigonia viridissima
Lineage: Eukaryota; Metazoa; Arthropoda; Insecta; Orthoptera; Tettigoniidae
Description: SSU rRNA
Rfam family: Eukaryotic small subunit ribosomal RNA
Source: RNAcentral
AGUAUCCAUUGGAGGGCAAGUCUGGUGCCAGCAGCCGCGGUAAUUCCAGCUCCAAUAGCGUAUAUUAAAGUUGUUGCGGUUAAAAAGCUCGUAGUUGGAUUUGUGUCCCACGCUGUCGGUUCAUCGCUCGUCGGUGUCUAACUGGCAUGGUUCGUGGGACGUCCUGCCGGUGGUGGCGAGCCGAAAGCGUGCGGCCGCCGUGGUUAGCCCACGUGCGGUUCCUGCGCGCCGUAGGCGGACCCCGAUGAAAUCCUACCGCGGUGCUCUUCAUCGAGUGUCGAGGUGGGCCGGCACGUUUACUUUGAACAAAUUAGAGUGCUUAAAGCAGGCCGGCUGCGCCUGAAUACUGUGUGCAUGGAAUAAUGGAAUAGGACCUCGGUUCUAUUUUGUUGGUUUUCGGAACCCGAGGUAAUGAUUAAUAGGGACAGGCGGGGGCAUUCGUAUUGCGACGUUAGAGGUGAAAUUCUUGGAUCGUCGCAAGACGGACCGAAGCGAAAGCAUUUGCCAAGUAUGUUUUCAUUAAUCAAGAACGAAAGUUAGAGGUUCGAAGGCGAUCAGAUACCGCCCUAGUUCUAACCAUAAACGAUGCCAGCUAGCGAUCCGCCGAAGUUCCUCCGAUGACUCGGCGGGCAGCUCCCGGGAAACCAAAGCUUUUGGGUUCCGGGGGAAGUAUGGUUGCAAAGCUGAAACUUAAAGGAAUUGACGGAAGGGCACCACCAGGAGUGGAGCCUGCGGCUUAAUUUGACUCAACACGGGAAACCUCACCAGGCCCGGACACCGGAAGGAUUGACAGAUUGAGAGCUCUUUCUGAUUCGGUG